GCAAUUCUAGUGGGAGAGAUAAGCUACUUUUUCAUAGCAGCAGCCAGCACCUGCAAAGGCAGCGUUUGCCUUCUCUCCCCAGCCAGCUCUUUAGAAUCACUAAUUGGAGAAACAGAAUACAUCACGAGAGUCCCUAGCCCUUCACCCAUCUGCAACCGCACAAGGAUUAUCACAGGCUCAGUGGGAUGUUUCAAUUACCUCCUCUUGUUGAAAUAUUGGCAGUGCCUCAUUGGUUUCCGGGCUUCCCCUGUGACCCCCGGACACUUCUCUAUAAGGAGAAGCGUCCAUUCCUAGCUCGCAAAGCUCUCGGAAAGCAUUUGAGCCAGUAGGAGGCGGCCCAUGCUAUGAAGGAGUGAAAACAAGCUGUUUCAGUUAAGGAUUCAGGAUUCUAAGGCCAGAAGGAAUCACUGUGAUCAUCUAGGCUGACCCCCUGUAUAACACGGGCCAUAGAACCUCUCUGAAUUCAUUCCCAUUUGAACUAAUCAUUUAGAAAAACAUCCAAUCUCGAUGUAAAGGUGUCCAAUGAUGGAGAGUCCACCACAACCCUGGCGGGGCCUCUCUGACUCCUCUUCUCCAUGCCUGGAGGCUCAUCAGCUCUGAUCCAGGACCUGCUCACAGAUGAACAGAACAAUCAUCAGCAUCCUCUGUCUGUUUCAUUCAUCCACUCAUGGUUGUCAUCUCACCGGGCCGGCUCCAGGCACCAGCUGAGCAGCAAGGCUUGCCGGAUCUCUAUCAAGCGUUCUUAAAACGACAGUACCCACCUGCUGAAG
This is a non-coding RNA of Chrysemys picta bellii (western painted turtle), 770 nucleotides long. The record is from RefSeq and is a predicted model, not a curated record. Lineage: Eukaryota; Metazoa; Chordata; Testudines; Emydidae.